Molecule: ribosomal RNA, 498 nt
Filed under: uncultured bacterium
Lineage: Bacteria
Description: bacterial SSU rRNA
Rfam family: Bacterial small subunit ribosomal RNA
Source: RNAcentral
GAGAGGGUGAUCGGCCACACUGGAACUGAGACACGGUCCAGACUCCUACGGGAGGCAGCAGUGGGGAAUAUUGGGCAAAUGGGCGAAAGCCUGACCCAGCAACGCCGCGUGAGGGAUGACAGCGCUACGCGUUGUAAACUUCUUUUGUACAGGAAGAAACGCUUCUACGUGUAGAAGUCUGACGGUACUGUACGAGUAAGCAUCGGCUAACUCCGUGCCAGCAGCCGCGGUAAUACGGAGGAUGCAAGCGUUAUCCGGAUUUAUUGGGUUUAAAGGGUACGUAGGCGGAAAAAUUAAGUCAGUAGUGAAAUCCUGCAGCUUAACUGUAGAACUGUUAUUGAUACUGGUUUUCUUGAAUAUAGUUGAGGUAGGCGGAAUGUGUAAUGUAGCGGUGAAAUGCUUAGAUAUUACACAGAACACCGAUUGCGAAGGCAGCUUACUAAGCUAUGAUUGACGCUGAGGUACGAAAGCGUGGGGAGCGAACAGGAUUAGAUACCC